AUGUUCCAGCCAUCCUUCACACAGACCUUAAGUGAAAUUAAUGAGAUCACUCUACAAUUACGCUUUGUGUUUUAUUUUCACUUUCUAGGUCUGUAUGAGCUGUUGGCUGUUGUGCGAGGCCAGCUGGGGCCACAUGUGGACAGCCAGGAAGACCUGACCUUUCUCUGGGAUAUGUUUGGUGAGAAAAGCCUGCAUUCACUGGUAAAGGUCUGCUCUCCACUUGGCCUGUGCCAAAGGCCAUG
Molecule: long non-coding RNA, 242 nt
Filed under: Canis lupus familiaris (dog)
Lineage: Eukaryota; Metazoa; Chordata; Mammalia; Carnivora; Canidae
Description: lncRNA (ENSCAFG00040018664.1)
Source: RNAcentral